This 645-nucleotide ribosomal RNA is filed under the name uncultured bacterium. RNAcentral describes it as "bacterial SSU rRNA". It matches the Rfam family "Bacterial small subunit ribosomal RNA", at positions 28 to 666 of the family's 1533-position model. The record is from RNAcentral.
GAUGAACGCUAGCGGCAGGCUUAACACAUGCAAGUCGAGGGGCAGCGCGGGAUAGCAAUAUCCUGGCGGCGACCGGCGGAAGGGUGCGUAACGCGUGAGCGACAUGCCCGUUGCCCGGGGACAACCGGUGGAAACGCCGACUAAUCCCCGAUGGGAUACGAUGCUUCAUGGCAUUGUAUUGAAAGUUACGGCGGCGACGGAUUGGCUCGCGUCCGAUUAGCUUGUUGGCGGGGUAACGGCCCACCAAGGCUGCGAUCGGUAGGGGUUCUGAGAGGAAGGCCCCCCACAAUGGGACUGAGACACGGCCCAUACUCCUACGGGAGGCAGCAGUGAGGAAUAUUGGUCAAUGGGCGGAAGCCUGAACCAGCCAUGCCGCGUGCGGGAAGGAGGCCCUAUGGGCUGUGAACCGCUUUUGCCUGGGGGCAAUAAGGGCGUCGCGCACGUCCGAUGAGAGUACCAGGCGAAUAAGCAUCGGCUAACUCCGUGCCAGCAGCCGCGGUAAUACGGGGGAUGCGAGCGUUAUCCGGAUUCAUUGGGUUUAAAGGGUGCGUAGGCUGUGCGUCAAGUCGGGGGUGAAAUUCCAGUGCUCAACACCGGGGCUGCCCUUGAUACUGUCGCGCUGGAGUGCGGAUGCCGCCGGAGGAA